This 253-nucleotide ribosomal RNA is filed under the name uncultured bacterium. Its description in RNAcentral is "partial 16S ribosomal RNA". It matches the Rfam family "Bacterial small subunit ribosomal RNA", at positions 524 to 776 of the family's 1533-position model. The record is from RNAcentral.
UACGUAGGUGGCAAGCGUUGUCCGGAUUUACUGGGCGUAAAGGGCGUGCAGGCGGUCUGUUAAGUUCAGGGUGAAAGCUCCCGGCUCAACUGGGAGAGGUCCUUGGAUACUGGCAGACUUGAGGGAGGUAGAGGAGAGUGGAAUUCCCGGUGUAGUGGUGAUAUGCGUAGAUAUCGGGAGGAACACCAGUGGCGAAGGCGGCUCUCUGGGCCUUUCCUGACGCUGAGACGCGAAAGCGUGGGGAGCGAACCAG